Molecule: long non-coding RNA, 728 nt
Organism: Sinocyclocheilus grahami
Lineage: Eukaryota; Metazoa; Chordata; Actinopteri; Cypriniformes; Cyprinidae
Exons: 2
Source: RefSeq, a predicted model, not a curated record
UUCUAUUUUUCUGAAUCGCCCAGAUACCGAUGUCUGUUUACUGAAUGCAGUUGUGAUUCUUCUCACAGAGCACAAGGAUUCUUCAGAUGAGAAAAGGAGCAGCAGAAAGGGCUCGGUUGAGAAGGCUAAUGAGCUCUCUGAUGCCGAGCCUCCCAAAGCGGACGUGAACGGCACCGCGCAAGAGCUACAUUCUGAAGGUGACACACAGUCCAAUUAAAACUGAUCUGAUAGGACCUCAGAUCAGCCCCAGGGGGAGUUCGAACAGCUGCAAGAGGAAGACCUGAAGACCUCCAUCUGACAAUUCAACUCCGCUGCUUUAAAACAAGGUGAACCACAGAUGUAGUGGCCUAUAUGAUAAAGAUGUAAAUGUAAAAUGGUUCUGUAGCCCUUUUUCAAUGUUUCCACAGGACCUUUCUUGUGUUUGUUUGGUUUUCUUUGGGCUUACUGCUAUAAGCUGGCAUAGAUGCACAUGCAGGUCCACCAUUAUUUCUGUUAGUCUGCAUUCAGAGAACACUUGUGGCAUGUUUGCUCUGUACAGUCCGCUCUCACUUUACACAUUGGAAUUAUUGAAGAUCGGUUUUGUUCAGUAUUUUGUCUGCUUUAUCUUUUUAUUUUCCCCUCUGUAUGCUAAAUCCCAAAUCUUUAUACGAUUUUAGUUUAGAGAAGUGUUUUCAUUUUGUUCCAGUUUUAAAACCUGUAUUUGUCAUGAAUAAAAAUGAAGAAAAAAU